Molecule: ribosomal RNA, 476 nt
Filed under: uncultured organism
Description: partial 16S ribosomal RNA
Rfam family: Bacterial small subunit ribosomal RNA
Source: RNAcentral
ACGUACACUCCUGCGGGAGGCAGCAGUGGGGAAUAUUGCACAAUGGGCGCAAGCCUGAUGCAGCCAUGCCGCGUGUAUGAAGAAGGCCUUCGGGUUGUAAAGUACUUUCAGCGGGGAGGAAGGCAAUACGGUUAAUAACCGUGUUGAUUGACGUUACCCGCAGAAGAAGCUCCGGCUAACUCCGUGCCAGCAGCCGCGGUAAUACGGAGGGUGCAAGCGUUAAUCGGAAUUACUGGGCGUAAAGCGCACGCAGGCGGUCUGUCAAGUCGGAUGUGAAAUCCCCGGGCUCAACCUGGGAACUGCAUUCGAAACUGGCAGGCUUGAGUCUUGUAGAGGGGGGUAGAAUUCCAGGUGUAGCGGUGAAAUGCGUAGAGAUCUGGAGGAAUACCGGUGGCGAAGGCGGCCCCCUGGACAAAGACUGACGCUCAGGUGCGAAAGCGUGGGGAGCAAACAGGAUUAGAAACCCUUGUAGUCCC